Molecule: ribosomal RNA, 349 nt
Filed under: uncultured bacterium
Lineage: Bacteria
Description: bacterial SSU rRNA
Rfam family: Bacterial small subunit ribosomal RNA
Source: RNAcentral
GACGAACGCUGGCGGCGUGCCUAAUACAUGCAAGUCGAACGCACUCUCGUUUAGAUUGAAGGAGCUUGCUCCUGAUUGAUAAACAUUUGAGUGAGUGGCGGACGGGUGAGUAACACGUGGGUAACCUGCCCUAAAGUGGGGGAUAACAUUUGGAAACAGAUGCUAAUACCGCAUAAAACCUAACACCGCAUGGUGUAGGGUUGAAAGAUGGUUUCGGCUAUCACUUUAGGAUGGACCCGCGGUGCAUUAGUUAGUUGGUGAGGUAAAGGCUCACCCAAGACCGUGAUGCAUAGCCGACCUGAGAGGGUAAUCGGCCACACUGGGACUGAGACACGGCCCAGACUCCUAC